Molecule: ribosomal RNA, 447 nt
Filed under: uncultured bacterium
Lineage: Bacteria
Description: bacterial SSU rRNA
Rfam family: Bacterial small subunit ribosomal RNA
Source: RNAcentral
GACCAGACUCCUACGGGAGGCAGCAGUGGGGGAUAUUGCACAAUGGGGGAAACCCUGAUGCAGCGACGCCGCGUGAGUGAAGAAGUAUUUCGGUAUGUAAAGCUCUAUCAGCAGGGACGAAAAUGACGGUACCUGAGUAAGAAGCCCCGGCUAACUACGUGCCAGCAGCCGCGGUAAUACGUAGGGGGCAAGCGUUAUCCGGAUUUACUGGGUGUAAAGGGAGCGUAGACGGCAGUGCAAGUCUGAAGUGAAAGCCCCGGGCUUAACCCGGGAAUUGCUUUGGAAACUGUACGGCUGGAGUGCUGGAGAGGUAAGCGGAAUUCCUAGUGUAGCGGUGAAAUGCGUAGAUAUUAGGAGGAACACCAGUGGCGAAGGCGGCUUACUGGACAGUAACUGGCGUUGAGGCUCGAAAGCGUGGGGAGCAAACAGGAUUAGAUACCCGGGUAC